UGCCAGCAGCCGCGGUAACACGAACCGUGCGAACGUUAUUCGGAAUUACUGGGCGUAAAGCGCACGUAGGCGGCAAUGUAAGUUGGGGGUGAAAUCCCGGGGCUCAACCCCGGAACUGCCUCCAAAACUACAUAGCUAGAGGAUGUGAGAGGAUAGUGGAAUUCCGAGUGUAGAGGUGAAAUUCGUAGAUAUUCGGAAGAACACCAGUGGCGAAGGCGACUGUCUGGCACAUUUCUGACGCUGAGGUGCGAAAGCGUGGGGAGCAAACAGGAUUAGAUA
This 279-nucleotide ribosomal RNA is filed under the name uncultured bacterium. RNAcentral describes it as "partial 16S ribosomal RNA". It matches the Rfam family "Bacterial small subunit ribosomal RNA", at positions 506 to 784 of the family's 1533-position model. The record is from RNAcentral.